This is a long non-coding RNA of Neofelis nebulosa (Clouded leopard), 341 nucleotides long. RefSeq lists it as uncharacterized. Lineage: Eukaryota; Metazoa; Chordata; Mammalia; Carnivora; Felidae. The record is from RefSeq and is a predicted model, not a curated record. The transcript has 2 exons.
AGGGGCAGAGACGGGGGUGGGAGCGAGGCGGGUUAGAAAGAUGGGGGAUCUGAGAGACAGGGUGAGAGAGAGAUGCGGGUGCCAAAGAAGACGGUCAGGAAGGAUCGGGAAGGCCAGCGUCAGAGAGACACGGAGACUCCUCACAGCAGCAUCUAUUGGAGGCACUAUUAAAUUCCCAUUUUAUGGAGGGGGAUCAAAGGCACCACAAGACGCUAUUUGCCUGGAAAGUUGGCUUUGGGGCCGGGAGUGGCCCCAAGGCUGCGGCGCCUGGCUACCCUUGGCCUCACCACCACGUGUCUGGACCCCUUGAUCUUUAUUUUUAAAAGUCUCUGCCUUAGCCA